UAGGGAAUCUUCGGCAAUGGACGAAAGUCUGACCGAGCAACGCCGCGUGAGUGAAGAAGGUUUUCGGAUCGUAAAACUCUGUUGUUAGAGAAGAACAAGGACGUUAGUAACUGAACGUCCUCUGACGGUAUCUAACUAGAAAGCCACGGCUAACUACGUGCCAGCAGCCGCGGUAAUACGUAGGUGGCAAGCGUUGUCCGGAUUUAUUGGGCGUAAAGCGAGCGCAGGCGGUUUCUUAAGUCUGAUGUGAAAGCCCCCGGCUCAACCGGGGAGAGUCAUUAGAGACUGGGAGACUUGAGUGCAGAAGAAGAGAGUGGAAUUCCAUGUGUAGCGGUGAAAUGCGUAGAUAUAUGGAGGAACACCAGUGGCGAAGGCGGCUCUCUGGUCUGUAACUGACGCUGAGGCUCGAAAGCGUGGGGAGCAAACAGG
RNAcentral lists this ribosomal RNA (429 nucleotides) under Gemmatimonadota bacterium. RNAcentral's name for it is "Gemmatimonadetes bacterium partial 16S ribosomal RNA". It matches the Rfam family "Bacterial small subunit ribosomal RNA", at positions 355 to 776 of the family's 1533-position model. Lineage: Bacteria; Pseudomonadati; Gemmatimonadota. The record is from RNAcentral.